GUGGCUAUAGCUCAAUUGGUUAGAGCGUUAGACUGUGGCUCUAAAGGUUGCGGGUUCGAUCCCCGUUAGCCACC
This 74-nucleotide transfer RNA is filed under the name Candidatus Omnitrophota bacterium. Its description in RNAcentral is "tRNA-His". It matches the Rfam family "tRNA". Rfam says of the family: Transfer RNA (tRNA) molecules are approximately 80 nucleotides in length. Their secondary structure includes four short double-helical elements and three loops (D, anti-codon, and T loops). Lineage: Bacteria; Pseudomonadati; Candidatus Omnitrophota. The record is from RNAcentral.